RNAcentral lists this ribosomal RNA (1035 nucleotides) under Micrococcus luteus. RNAcentral's name for it is "bacterial SSU rRNA". It matches the Rfam family "Bacterial small subunit ribosomal RNA", at positions 397 to 1441 of the family's 1533-position model. The record is from RNAcentral. Lineage: Bacteria; Bacillati; Actinomycetota; Actinomycetes; Micrococcales; Micrococcaceae.
CCGCUUGAGGGAUGACGGCCUUCGGGUUGUAAACCUCUUUCAGUAGGGAAGAAGCGAAAGUGACGGUACCUGCAGAAGAAGCACCGGCUAACUACGUGCCAGCAGCCGCGGUAAUACGUAGGGUGCGAGCGUUAUCCGGAAUUAUUGGGCGUAAAGAGCUCGUAGGCGGUUUGUCGCGUCUGUCGUGAAAGUCCGGGGCUUAACCCCGGAUCUGCGGUGGGUACGGGCAGACUAGAGUGCAGUAGGGGAGACUGGAAUUCCUGGUGUAGCGGUGGAAUGCGCAGAUAUCAGGAGGAACACCGAUGGCGAAGGCAGGUCUCUGGGCUGUAACUGACGCUGAGGAGCGAAAGCAUGGGGAGCGAACAGGAUUAGAUACCCUGGUAGUCCAUGCCGUAAACGUUGGGCACUAGGUGUGGGGACCAUUCCACGGUUUCCGCGCCGCAGCUAACGCAUUAAGUGCCCCGCCUGGGGAGUACGGCCGCAAGGCUAAAACUCAAAGGAAUUGACGGGGGCCCGCACAAGCGGCGGAGCAUGCGGAUUAAUUCGAUGCAACGCGAAGAACCUUACCAAGGCUUGACAUGUUCUCGAUCGCCGUAGAGAUACGGUUUCCCCUUUGGGGCGGGUUCACAGGUGGUGCAUGGUGGUGGUCAGCUCGUGUCGUGAGAUGUUGGGUUAAGUCCCGCAACGAGCGCAACCCUCGUUCCAUGUUGCCAGCACGUAGUGGUGGGGACUCAUGGGAGACUGCCGGGGUCAACUCGGAGGAAGGUGAGGAGGACGUCAAAUCAUCAUGCCCCCUAUGUCUUGGGCUUCACGCAUGCUACAAUGGCCGGUACAAUGGGUUGCGAUACUGUGAGGUGGAGCUAAUCCCAAAAAGCCGGUCUCAGUUUGGAUUGGGGUCUGCAACUCGACCCCAUGAAGUGGGAGUCGCUAGUAAUCGCAGAUCAGCAACGGUGCGGUGAAUACGUUCCCGGGCCUUGUACACACCGCCCGUCAAGUCAAGAAAGUUGGUAACACCCGAAGCCGGUGGCCUAACCC